AACGCACGAGACCUGCGGACCUGCGGAGGGAUCAUUAUAGGGAAUGCCCUCGUGGCUUAACCUUCAACCCAAUGAUGUUACUUCUCAACUGCCUUUCGGCGGUUUAUCCGCCGGAGGAAAUCUCAAACUCAUCAUAAACAUGUCAUGAUCUUAACUAAAUAUCAAUCAAUUAAAACUUUCAACAAUGGAUCUCU
RNAcentral lists this unclassified non-coding RNA (194 nucleotides) under soil metagenome. RNAcentral describes it as "partial contains 5.8S ribosomal RNA, internal transcribed spacer 2, and large subunit ribosomal RNA". The record is from RNAcentral.